GUAACAGUAUAACUUUAGACCGUCCCCUCGCCCAUACCCGGGCGCAAACCAGGGACCCUCUGCACACAUCAACAACAGUCACCCACGAAGCAUCGUUACCCAUCCCUCCACAAAACCCGCGGCCCUUGCAGAGCAAGGGGAACUACUACUUCAAGGUCUCAGAGCAAGUGACGUCACCGAUUGAAACGCUAUUUAGCACGCACCACCGCUAACUAAGCUAGCCGUUUCACAUCCGUUACAGCAGCAGCGUUGGUAUGGUAGUAUAGUUAUAGCAGUUAUUGUGCUUCCUCACCUGGAACCAAACCAGACAUUUGUUGUGAUUCAAUGCUUGUUUUGUACUGUAGUUAAGCUGCUUUUUUAAAUGGACAGAUAGCUGUACUGCUGUAUGGACAGAUUCAUAUUAAGUCCGUUGGUCUAGCGCCAGUUCUGUGUGGUCUUAAGCUCUCCCAAUCCUUCCUUCCUAUGGAGAAGAGUGGGUGGAUGUAUAGAACCUCUAAUCUGUGGAGAAACUCUUAACAGAUUGUGUUUCAUCAUUCCCUGGUUCCCUGGCAAGUCAUUUAAAAUGUAUAUCUGGGCUCACUAUUGUGUUGUUCACUAAAUCCCUCCUUUUUUCUCUGUAAUGGUCUGAUCAUGGGGCUGAGCUGGAAUUACACACACGCACACACACUGGAAUUAUCAUUAACGCUACAGCUUAAUUAGCCUGGUUAGUCAUUAGGAUGCAGAAUCAGAGAUGGGCUGUCAUUUGGGAGGCAGGCGUUGUUGUUGUUGUUGUUUGAGUCUGUAUUUUCCGCCUGAGAACACCUGCCCUGGUGGGCGUAAGGGAGAAAGAGCCUGGCUGCUUUGACCCCCUUUUGUGUUCAACUAAAAAGUGCUGUGAUGAAAAUGCGCCGUAGAGAAUGAAGUGGAGGCCUACGCAGCGGCAGUGUGUGUUCUGGCUUGUCUUCAUCUGAACAUGUGAAUGUCCUUGAAUGUAGGCUACAUCAGUGAGCAAAUGCAUCUGUGGCAGUUUAAAAUGUGGCGCAAUGAAAGAUGGGUGUGGGAGUCAAGAAUGCAAGGUUUGGACCAACACCACCCUAUCUGCACCAGUCUUGGUGUUCAUCAAGGUUUGGACCAACGCCACCCUUUCUGCACCAGUCUUGGUGUUCAUCAAGGUUUGGACCAACGCCACCCUUUCUGCACCAUUCUUGGUGUUCAUCAAGGUUUGGACCAACACCACCCUAUCUGCACCAGUCUUGGUGUUCAUCAAGGUUUGGACCAACACCACCCUGUCUACACCAGUCUUCGUGUUCAUCAAGGUUUAGACCAACGCCACCCUUUCUGCACCAGUCUUGGUGUUCAUCAGGUUUGGACCAACACCACCCUAUCUGCACCAGUCUUCUUGUUCAUCGGGUUUGGACCAACGCUACCCUAUCUGCACCAGUCUUGGUGUUCAUCAAGGUUUAGACCAACACCACCCUAUCUGCACCAGUCUUCUUGUUCAUCGGGUUUGGAAAAACGCCACCCUAUCUGCACCAGUCUUGGUGUUCAUCAGGUUAUGACCAACACCACCCUAUCUGCACCAGUCUUCUUGUUCAUCGGGUUUGGACCAACGCUACCCUAUCUGCACCAGUCUUGGUGUUCAUCAAGGUUUGGACCAACACCACCCUAUCUGCCCCAGUCUUGGUGUUCAUCAAGGUUUAGACCAACACCACCCUAUCUGCACCAGUCUUCUUGUUCAUCGGGUUUGGAAAAACGCCCCCCUAUCUGCACCAGUCUUGGUGUUCAUCAGGUUAUGACCAACACCACCCUAUCUGCACCAGUCUUCUUGUUCAUCGGGUUUGGACCAACGCUACCCUAUCUGCACCAGUCUUGGUGUUCAUCAAGGUUUGGACCAACACAACCCUAUCUACACCAGUCUUGGUGUUCAUCAAGGUUUGGACCAACGCCACCCUAUCUGCACCAGUCUUGGUGUUCAUCAAGGUUUGGACCAACACCACCCUAUCUACACCAGUCUUGGUGUUCAUCAAGGUUUGGACCAACACCACCCUAUCUACACCAGUCUUGGUGUUCAUCGGGUUUGGACCAACGCCACCCUAUCUGCACCAGUCUUGGUGUUCAUCAAGGUUUGGACCAACACCACCCUAUCUACACCAGUCUUGGUGUUCAUCAAGGUUUGGACCAACACCACCCUAUCUACACCAGUCUUGGUGUUCAUCGGGUUUGGACCAACGCCACCCUAUCUGCACCAGUCUUGUUGUUCAUCUCAAUAGUGUGAAAUGAGUUUGGGCUUGACAGGCAGUGGAGGCUCCAUUGGAGUGGACAGACCGUAGGAUAGGCAGUGGAGGCUCCAUUGGAGUGGACAGACC
Long non-coding RNA from Oncorhynchus tshawytscha (Chinook salmon), 2345 nucleotides. NCBI's taxonomy places the organism in Eukaryota, Metazoa, Chordata, Actinopteri, Salmoniformes, Salmonidae. The record is from Ensembl.